RNAcentral lists this ribosomal RNA (292 nucleotides) under uncultured bacterium. RNAcentral describes it as "partial 16S ribosomal RNA". It matches the Rfam family "Bacterial small subunit ribosomal RNA", at positions 505 to 796 of the family's 1533-position model. The record is from RNAcentral.
GUGCCAGCAGCCGCGGUAAUACAGAGGGUGCAAGCGUUAAUCAGAAUGACUGGGCGUAAAGGGCGUGUAGGUGGUUAAUUAGGUUUGAUGUGAAAUCCCCGGGCUUAACCUGGGAAUUGCGUCGAAAACGGAUUGACUCGAGUGAGAUAGAGGGUUGUGGAAUUUCCGGUGUAGCGGUGAAAUGCGUAGAUAUCGGAAAGAACAUCAGUGGCGAAGGCGACAACCUGGAUCUUAACUGACACUGAGGCGCGAAGGCGUGGGGAGCAAACAGGAUUAGAUACCCUCGUAGUCC